CUCGUGUCGUGAGAUGUUCGGGUUAAGUCCCGCAACGAGCGCAACCCUUAUUGCUAGUUACCAUCAUUGAGUUGGGGACUCUAGCGAGACUGCCAGCGAUAAGGCUGGAGGAAGGUGGGAUGACGUCAAAUCAUCAUGCCCCUUAUGACCUGGGCUACAAACGUGAUACAAUGGCUGGAACAAAGGGAGGCGAAGGGGUGACCUGGAGCGAAACCCAAAAAUACAGUCUCAGUUCGGAUUGAAGUCUGCAACUCGACUUCAUGAAGUCGGAAUCGCUAGUAAUCGCGGAUCAGAACGCCGCGGUGAAUACGUUCUCGGGGUUU
RNAcentral lists this ribosomal RNA (323 nucleotides) under uncultured Acholeplasma sp. RNAcentral describes it as "bacterial SSU rRNA". It matches the Rfam family "Bacterial small subunit ribosomal RNA", at positions 1059 to 1382 of the family's 1533-position model. The record is from RNAcentral. Lineage: Bacteria; Bacillati; Mycoplasmatota; Mollicutes; Acholeplasmatales; Acholeplasmataceae.